Electrophorus electricus (electric eel) is the source of this 280-nucleotide long non-coding RNA. RefSeq lists it as uncharacterized. Lineage: Eukaryota; Metazoa; Chordata; Actinopteri; Gymnotiformes; Gymnotidae. The record is from RefSeq and is a predicted model, not a curated record.
CCCGGACCACAAACUGACGAACACGUGACGUUUGGUGGCGAGGUGGGCGUGAACGAAAUGACCAAAACCUGCAACUCCGUAAAAAGGAUUCUCACAUGCAGUAUGUCUGGGGCAGGCCACAGUAGGAACCAAAAUGAGAGAGUAACCGAUUCUCCAGGUCGAUCACCGUCUCUCCAACCUUCUCAUCAUGGGUCAAUUCCUCUGACCACGUAGAUCCUGAUAAGGCACUCUUGAGGCCCACUCUCUGGAAGCUCUUUGAACUGCGGUGGAGGAGAGGGCA